GAGAGGUUGGAAAGGCUACUAUGCUUCUGGAAGCACGGAGCCUUCCGUGCUUCCAGAUCGUUUUCGAUGUUGCGACUUUCGAAUCGUCGAUCGGCUCCGUCAAACUUGAUCUAGAGUAUUUGAAGUAUUUAGAAAAUAAAUUUUAUUAUUUUUCGAUAUCAUUUGCCUAGUGAUCGAAGGGCCUCAAAAUCAAUAAUUUUAAUGGUCGUAGUGAGCUGUUUGCAAGUUUAACGGUGUAGAAAUAUCCAAAUCACGUAAAAUUUUGAUAGAAAAUUUUUUAUACUAUAUAAAACAAGAUCAAUAUCUUUGAUCUAAAAUUUUAAUGUCAUAUUAUCACGUUUUGUAAGAUUUUUAUUUUCAGCCGUUUAUUUUCAGCCCCUUCGUUCAUUAGGCAAAUAAUAUCGAAAAAUUAUAAAAUUUAUUUUCUAGGUACUUCAAAUACUCUAGAUCAAGUUUAACGGAGCCGAUCGAAGAUCCGAAACUCGCAACAUGGAAAACGACCUGGAAGCACGGAAGGCUCCGUG
This 524-nucleotide long non-coding RNA is filed under the name Ananas comosus (pineapple). RNAcentral describes it as "long non-coding RNA (ACOM_LNC029557)". Lineage: Eukaryota; Viridiplantae; Streptophyta; Magnoliopsida; Poales; Bromeliaceae. The record is from RNAcentral.